Molecule: unclassified non-coding RNA, 334 nt
Filed under: uncultured Glomeraceae
Lineage: Eukaryota; Fungi; Glomeromycota; Glomeromycetes; Glomerales; Glomeraceae
Description: sequence contains 18S rRNA gene
Source: RNAcentral
CCCAACUAUCCCUAUUAAUCAUUACGUCGAUCUUAGAAACCAACAAAAUAAGAUCAAACGUCCUAUUUCGUUAUUCCAUGCUAAUCUAUUCAAGCUUUAGCCUGCUUUAAACACUCUAAUUUUUUCAAAGUAACAGUCCUGAUUCCCCACGACACCAAAUUAAUGACAUCGUGGUUCUUCAGAAGGGAGGAACCAGUAAGACCAGUACGUACCGGAGGCACGACCAACCCACCGGUCCCGAAGUUCAACUACGAGCUUUUUAACUGCAACAACUUUAAUAUACGCUAUUGGAGCUGGAAUUACUGCGGCUGCUGGCACCAGACUUGCCCUCCAA